AGUGAACGCUGGCGGUAGGCCUAACACAUGCAAGUCGAACGGCAGCACAGUAAGAGCUUGCUCUUACGGGUGGCGAGUGGCGGACGGGUGAGGAAUACAUCGGAAUCUGCUUUUUCGUGGGGGAUAACGUAGGGAAACUUACGCUAAUACCGCAUACGACCUACGGGUGAAAGCAGGGGAUCUUCGGACCUUGCGCGAUUGAAUGAGCCGAUGUCGGAUUAGCUAGUUGGCGGGGUAAAGGCCCACCAAGGCGACGAUCCGUAGCUGGUCUGAGAGGAUGAUCAGCCACACUGGAACUGAGACACGGUCCAGACUCCUACGGGAGGCAGCAGUGGGGAAUAUUGGACAAUGGGCGCAAGCCUGAUCCAGCCAUACCGCGUGGGUGAAGAAGGCCUUCGGGUUGUAAAGCCCUUUUGUUAGGAAAGAAAAGCAGCAGGUUAAUACCCCGCUGUUCUGACGGUACCCAAAGAAUAAGCACCGGCUAACUUCGU
RNAcentral lists this ribosomal RNA (491 nucleotides) under uncultured bacterium. Its description in RNAcentral is "partial 16S ribosomal RNA". It matches the Rfam family "Bacterial small subunit ribosomal RNA", at positions 29 to 506 of the family's 1533-position model. The record is from RNAcentral.